RNAcentral lists this ribosomal RNA (527 nucleotides) under uncultured bacterium. RNAcentral's name for it is "bacterial SSU rRNA". It matches the Rfam family "Bacterial small subunit ribosomal RNA", at positions 8 to 524 of the family's 1533-position model. The record is from RNAcentral.
AGAGUUUGAUCCUGGCUCAGGAUGAACGCUAGCGGCAGGCCUAAUACAUGCAAGUCGGACGGGAUUCAGGGAGUAGCUUGCUACGAACUGAUGAGAGUGGCGCACGGGUGCGUAACGCGUGAGCAACCUACCCAUAUCAGGGGGAUAGCCUCUCGAAAGAGAGAUUAACACCGCAUAACAUCAUUUACCGGCAUCGGUUUUUGAUCAAAUAUUUAUAGGAUAUGGAUGGGCUCGCGUGACAUUAGCUAGUUGGAGAGGUAACGGCUCACCAAGGCUACGAUGUCUAGGGGCUCUGAGAGGAGAAUCCCCCACACUGGUACUGAGACACGGACCAGACUCCUACGGGAGGCAGCAGUAAGGAAUAUUGGUCAAUGGAGGCAACUCUGAACCAGCCAUGCCGCGUGCAGGAUGACGGUCCUAUGGAUUGUAAACUGCUUUUGUACAGGAAGAAAAAGAGUUACGUGUAGCUUAUUGACGGUACUGUAAGAAUAAGGAUCGGCUAACUCCGUGCCAGCAGCCGCGGUAAU